UAGUGGCGAACGGGUGAGUAACACGUGGGCAAUCUGCCCUGCACUCUGGGACAAGCCCUGGAAACGGGGUCUAAUACCGGAUAUGACUGUCCAUCGCAUGGUGGAUGGUGUAAAGCUCCGGCGGUGCAGGAUGAGCCCGCGGCCUAUCAGCUUGUUGGUGAGGUAGUGGCUCACCAAGGCGACGACGGGUAGCCGGCCUGAGAGGGCGACCGGCCACACUGGGACUGAGACACGGCCCAGACUCCUACGGGAGGCAGCAGUGGGGAAUAUUGCACAAUGGGCGAAAGCCUGAUGCAGCGACGCCGCGUGAGGGAUGACGGCCUUCGGGUUGUAAACCUCUUUCAGCAGGGAAGAAGCGAAAGUGACGGUACCUGCAGAAGAAGCGCCGGCUAACUACGUGCCAGCAGCCGCGGUAAUACGUAGGGCGCAAGCGUUGUCCGGAAUUAUUGGGCGUAAAGAGCUCGUAGGCGGCUUGUCACG
Molecule: ribosomal RNA, 480 nt
Filed under: Streptomyces sp.
Lineage: Bacteria; Bacillati; Actinomycetota; Actinomycetes; Kitasatosporales; Streptomycetaceae
Description: bacterial SSU rRNA
Rfam family: Bacterial small subunit ribosomal RNA
Source: RNAcentral